AGUUAACGUCACACUUGAUGGGUAUUAACCAACAAGCUUUCCUCACUGAUGAAAGUGCUUUACAACCCGAAAGCCUUCUUCACACACGCGGCAUGGCUGGAUCAGGCUUUCGCCCAUUGUCCAAUAUUCCCCA
Molecule: ribosomal RNA, 133 nt
Filed under: uncultured bacterium
Lineage: Bacteria
Description: partial 16S ribosomal RNA
Source: RNAcentral